CAUCAGGUUGAAACACCGGUUCCUGUAUGAUCAUUGAAGUUAAGCAACAUCGAGCUUAGUCAGGACCUAGAUGGGUGACCGCUUGGGAAUACCAAGUGCUGUAA
This is a non-coding RNA of Acanthosepion pharaonis, 104 nucleotides long. The record is from the annotation of a GenBank genome assembly. NCBI's taxonomy places the organism in Eukaryota, Metazoa, Mollusca, Cephalopoda, Sepiida, Sepiidae.